AAACAACAAAAAAAAAAAAAAAAUGAGAACUAGUCUAGAACUAGUGCUUCCCAGUUCGAACUUAUGGUGGAUUAUAUGGAAAAGAACGGGGACCUUAGCAAACUUACGGAAGGUCCACAAGGCCGCAUAAAAAAUAUUCAACAGUGGACCGAUCUUACUUUAGCGCUAAAUGCUGAUGGUACGGGUGAUUAAAAAAAAACAGCCGAGAAGUGGAGAAAGGUAUGGAGUGACCUUAAAAAUAAUACUAAAAGAAAGGCAGCUAGAUUGCACAGAGCUGCCAUAGGAACUGGUGGUGGACCAGCGGCAAAAAUAAAAUAAAAUAAUUUAGAACUCCGCAUUCUAAAUAUUAUUGGGUCGCAAGCAGAUAUGGGAAUGAGGUGAUGGAAAUUGGCUCACAUCAGGUUAUUUUCAUUUAUUUUUAUUUUAUUUCUUUACUUUCUUCAAACACUACUGUUUAUUUUUGCAUCUAAGCAUGAAUUUAUAUUAUUUAUUAUCAUUAAGCAGGUGAACAGUAUGACUGUGUAACUUAUAUCCUGUAACAAGUAUGUUGACUUAUUUGUUCUUGCUCAUAGUCCGGAAAUUAUACAGAAAUUGUACUGCUAGGUUUUUUAUCUUAAUGCUAAGAAAUACCUAAUACCGUUAUUUAUUCUUUAUUUUAUUCUUUAUUGCACAAUAUAAAAGCAUUCUCUAC
This is a long non-coding RNA of Melitaea cinxia (Glanville fritillary), 691 nucleotides long. RefSeq lists it as uncharacterized. The record is from RefSeq and is a predicted model, not a curated record. The transcript has 3 exons. NCBI's taxonomy places the organism in Eukaryota, Metazoa, Arthropoda, Insecta, Lepidoptera, Nymphalidae.